CCUACGGGAGGCAGCAGUGAGGAAUAUUGGACAAUGGACGCAAGUCUGAACCAGCCAUGCCGCGUGCAGGAAGACGGCUCUAUGAGUUGUAAACUGCUUUUGUACGAGGGUAAACGCAGAUACGCGUAUCUGUCUGACAGUAUCGUACGAAUAAGGAUCGGCUAACUCCGUGCCAGCAGCCGCGGUAAUAAGGAGGAUUCAAGCGUUAUACGGAUUUAUUGGGUUUAAAGGGUGCGUAGUCGGUCGGUUAAGUUAGAGGUGAAAUCCCGAGGCUCAACUUCGGAAUUGCCUCUGAUACUGUGCGGCUAGAGAGUAGUUGCGGUAGGCGGAAUGUAUGGUGUAGCGGUGAAAUGCUUAGAGAUCAUACAGAACACCGAUUGCGAAGGCAGCUUACCAAGCUACUUCUGACGUUGAGGCACGAAAGCGUGGGGAGCAAACAGGAUUAGAUACCCCAGUAGUC
RNAcentral lists this ribosomal RNA (460 nucleotides) under uncultured bacterium. Its description in RNAcentral is "partial 16S ribosomal RNA". It matches the Rfam family "Bacterial small subunit ribosomal RNA", at positions 338 to 795 of the family's 1533-position model. The record is from RNAcentral.